This 684-nucleotide ribosomal RNA is filed under the name Triticum aestivum (bread wheat). RNAcentral's name for it is "partial small subunit ribosomal RNA". Lineage: Eukaryota; Viridiplantae; Streptophyta; Magnoliopsida; Poales; Poaceae. The record is from RNAcentral.
AUGGAUUCCCUGUCACACGAGCAAUUUGUAUUGCUAGGAGUCACGUUGUGGGCUAUAUGGACAGCACGGCGGCGGGCAAUCCAUGAAGGUAUAUUUCAAACUCCACAGGCCACUACAGAAUUUGUAAAAAGAUUCAUAACGGAGCUGGAGGUGCUUGAGAAUAAGACGGUAAAAGCAGUGCGAGGCGGCCUUCCUGGCCAGUCUAGGCCACGAGCACCACCGGUGGGCUGGUUUAAAAUCCAUGUCGAUGCCGGCGUCAGAACUGGGAGGGGUGGUUCAGCAGCUGCGGUUUGCAGAGAUCAUCAAGGCAACUACAUGGGGAGUUCGGCAUUGAUCAUUGCGGGAGUGGACGACCCGGCUAUUCUGGAGACAAUUGCAUGUCGAGAAGCACUUGCGCUGGCGGAAGAUCUCAACCUUAACAAUCUGAUCAUCGCUUCCGAUGCUAAGCAAGUAGUCAAUGAUAUUUCAGAAGCACACAGGGGCAGGAACGCUGCAAUUGUUUAAGAGAUUAAAAGUAGAACUUCUUCUUUUUUCUGUAAUUUUGUGUUCAAAGAUCGUGCGGCUAAUAGAGACGCACAUAAACUUGCCAAAUAUUCACUCUCACUAGGGCCGGGGCGCCACAUCUGGUUAGGCCAACCCCAGGCUCCGACUUGUAUCCCACACUCUGUGGAAUUUGAUGAAUAA